CCGGUGAAAAUCCGGUGAAAUACUGAGCAGUAUUGAGCCCGAUAUCUGUAUAAUACUGAUGACGAAUUGUAUAUCAACUAAGUAUCUGUCAUAAUUUACUGGAGAUGGAGAAAGCUGCUUUUUGAAGAAGCUUCUUCUUCUUCAGUUUAAUAGAUCAAAUUUUAUCGCUCAAAUUUUGGAGCAAUCUUAUCAGCCCAGUUUAUUUACUUCCCCUCACAAUCAACGAUUUAACAUUAAUUUUUGUGUCCUCAUUUCAAAUUAAACAGCCGAAAAAAAUUCUAAAUUUCAGUUUUGAUAAAUGACAUUUCAAAAACGUUUACCAUCUCUCCGAAAUUUAUAUUGUGGUGCGUAUAAUAAGAGGGACCUAUAAGUACAUACAAAACGAUUACAUAUAAAUGAUUCUAUAUUCUACGAUAUAAUGGGUUUGCCAAGAGGAAGUGAUUUAAUGUUCAACGGCCUAUUCAUGCGAGAAGGAUAUCGCAUCCAGGACAGGAUAUCACAACAAAACAUUUGUUUACCAGAGACACAAGAGGAUUAUUUCUUUUUUUUGCAUGAAGAGUCGGCCAAACACUUCAAACCACUUGAAAUCCAAAGGAUCAUUAGUUACCACAACACAGAAUACAAAAAAAUAAACAACACAAUAUGGAACCAACACCACAUUUAGACGGCAACACACAAUAAAAGGACAAUAAGGACCACACUUUUCUACAACUGUAUAUAAUAAAUCAAACGAAAGACAAUCAUGUUUGCAUUAGGGUUUUUUCUGUAUUGAGAUGAAAAAUGUUGAUUUUUUUUUGUGUGUUUGUGGAAAUUGGUGCUAGGAAAUGAGUUAUAUCU
This is a long non-coding RNA of Episyrphus balteatus (marmalade hoverfly), 837 nucleotides long. RefSeq lists it as uncharacterized. NCBI's taxonomy places the organism in Eukaryota, Metazoa, Arthropoda, Insecta, Diptera, Syrphidae. The transcript is spliced from 3 exons. The record is from RefSeq and is a predicted model, not a curated record.